UAUAUGAGCCAUCGCGAGGAGAGCCUCUCGAACCUGGUCAGGACCGGAAGGUAGCAGCCAUAAGUCAGGGUCCCCUGUGCGGUGGUUUUAUUCUCUU
RNAcentral lists this signal recognition particle RNA (97 nucleotides) under Bacilli bacterium. RNAcentral describes it as "signal recognition particle sRNA small type". It matches the Rfam family "Bacterial small signal recognition particle RNA". From Rfam's summary of the family: The signal recognition particle (SRP) is a universally conserved ribonucleoprotein involved in the co-translational targeting of proteins to membranes. Lineage: Bacteria; Bacillati; Bacillota; Bacilli. The record is from RNAcentral.